UUGGCCCCUGUGUCCAUUUGUAAUUUCCAGACAAUUUAUCAAACCAGCAAAAGCAGUGAAAGCAGCAAAGGAACAGCAAAAGCAAGGGGAUGCCAAGUGCCGAAGGCCAGAAGUCGGAAUGGAAAUGGCGCAGAAAAUGCGCUUCAAGUGGCCAUGGCCAUGACCAUCGACUGGAUGGAUAGAUGGAAUGGAAAGCCGGGGGUGGCGGCGAGUUCAAAUAAAGUAAAAAUUCUUCGAUUCGUGUACAAUCAAAUUGGGAUGGUGGAAAAUGGGAUAGUGGACAAUCAGCCGCGGGACGGAUACUUCAUAAAUUUCUUCGACCGAUCCACUUUAAUGCAAGUUUUUGGCAUCGGCAUCUGUGUGGAAACUUCUUCAAGUACGAGAAUUCGAAGGAGUACGGAAAUUAGCCUUGUCGCAAUCGCAUUCUCUGUCGUCUGCAAAGUUUCAAUUGAAUUUUCGUCCGGCAUAAAAAUGCAGCAACUUGAACUUUUCGCCGUGUACGAGAAGCGAUCAUCAACCAAGUAAUUAAUUUUGCAUAUGUGAAAGUGCAGCCAAAGAGGAUGGGCAUGGAUGGAAGUCCUGACACUUGUCGCUACCCCUUGACCCCUCGGGAAUGUGAUCAACUUAACGAGGUGCCGCCAGUGAGGAGUCAUGGAGCCAGUGCACCGAUAAAAAAGUUAAUAAACCUAACAGCACGAUU
Molecule: non-coding RNA, 700 nt
Organism: Drosophila melanogaster (fruit fly)
Lineage: Eukaryota; Metazoa; Arthropoda; Insecta; Diptera; Drosophilidae
Source: Ensembl